This 460-nucleotide ribosomal RNA is filed under the name uncultured bacterium. Its description in RNAcentral is "partial 16S ribosomal RNA". It matches the Rfam family "Bacterial small subunit ribosomal RNA", at positions 338 to 795 of the family's 1533-position model. The record is from RNAcentral.
CCUACGGGUGGCCGCAGUGAGGAAUAUUGGUCCAUGGACGAGAGUCUGAACCAGCCAAGUAGCGUGAAGGAUGACUGCCCUAUGGGUUGUAAACUUCUUUUAUAUGGGAAUAAAACGUUCCACGUGUGGGAUUUUGUAUGUACCAUAUGAAUAAGUAUCGGCUAACUCCGUGCAAGCAGCCGCGUUAAUACGGAGGAUCCGAGCGUUAUCCGGAUUUAUUGGGUUUAAGGGGAGCGUAGGUGGAUUGUUAAGUCAGUGGUGACAGUUUGCGGCUCAACCGUAAAAUUGCAGUUGAAACUGGCAGUUUUGAGUACAGUAGAGGUGGGCGGAAUUCGUGGUGUAGCGGUGAAAUGCUUAGAUAUCACGAAGAACUCCGAUUGCGAAGGCAGUUCACUGGACUGCAACUGACACUGAGGCUCGAAAGUGUGGGUAUCAAACAGGAUUAGAUACCCUGGUAGUC